This 532-nucleotide ribosomal RNA is filed under the name Fusarium sp. F7. RNAcentral's name for it is "eukaryotic LSU rRNA". The stretch from base 181 to 334 matches the Rfam family "5.8S ribosomal RNA". The record is from RNAcentral. Lineage: Eukaryota; Fungi; Ascomycota; Sordariomycetes; Hypocreales; Nectriaceae.
UUCCGUAGGGGUGACCUGCGGAGGGAUCAUUACCGAGUUUACAACUCCCAAACCCCUGUGAACAUACCAAUUGUUGCCUCGGCGGAUCAGCCCGCUCCCGGUAAAACGGGACGGCCCGCCAGAGGACCCCUAAACUCUGUUUCUAUAUGUAACUUCUGAGUAAAACCAUAAAUAAAUCAAAACUUUCAACAACGGAUCUCUUGGUUCUGGCAUCGAUGAAGAACGCAGCAAAAUGCGAUAAGUAAUGUGAAUUGCAGAAUUCAGUGAAUCAUCGAAUCUUUGAACGCACAUUGCGCCCGCCAGUAUUCUGGCGGGCAUGCCUGUUCGAGCGUCAUUUCAACCCUCAAGCCCUCGGGUUUGGUGUUGGGGAUCGGCGAGCCCUUGCGGCAAGCCGGCCCCGAAAUCUAGUGGCGGUCUCGCUGCAGCUUCCAUUGCGUAGUAGUAAAACCCUCGCAACUGGUACGCGGCGCGGCCAAGCCGUUAAACCCCCAACUUCUGAAUGUGACCUCGGAUCAGGCUGUCUAAUCGGUAG